Molecule: transfer RNA, 71 nt
Filed under: Loxodonta africana (African savanna elephant)
Lineage: Eukaryota; Metazoa; Chordata; Mammalia; Proboscidea; Elephantidae
Rfam family: tRNA
About the family: Transfer RNA (tRNA) molecules are approximately 80 nucleotides in length. Their secondary structure includes four short double-helical elements and three loops (D, anti-codon, and T loops).
Source: Rfam by way of RNAcentral
ACACUGGUGGUUCAGUGGUAGAAUUCUCAUCUUCCAUGUGGGAGACUCUGGUUAGAUUCCCGGCCAAUCCA